RNAcentral lists this ribosomal RNA (2896 nucleotides) under Clostridioides difficile. Its description in RNAcentral is "bacterial LSU rRNA". It matches the Rfam family "Bacterial large subunit ribosomal RNA". The record is from RNAcentral. Lineage: Bacteria; Bacillati; Bacillota; Clostridia; Peptostreptococcales; Peptostreptococcaceae.
UCAAGUUAUUAAGGGUGCAGGGCGGAUGCCUUGGCACUAGGAGCCGAUGAAGGACGUGAUAAGCUGCGAUAAGCUUCGGGGAGUUGCACGUAAACUUUGAUCCGAAGAUUUCCGAAUGAGGAAACUCACUUAGAGUAAUGUCUAAGUAUCAUUAAGUGAAUACAUAGCUUGAUGAGGGGAACUCAGGGAACUGAAACAUCUAAGUACCUGAAGGAAGAGAAAGAAAUUCGAUUCCGUAAGUAGCGGCGAGCGAACGCGGAUUAGCCCAAACCAAUAAAGUUUUCUUUAUUGGGGUUGCGGACAUAUCAUAACGAAGAGGUAUCGUAAUUGAAGAGGUUUGGAAAGACCCACCACAGAAGGUAAUAGUCCUGUAUGUUAAACGAGAAGACUUUAGAUAUGAUCCAGAGUACCACGGGACACGUGAAACCCUGUGGGAAGCAGGAGGGACCACCCUCCAAGGCUAAAUACUACCUAGUGACCGAUAGCGUAUAGUACCGUGAGGGAAAGGUGAAAAGAACCCCGGGAGGGGAGUGAAAUAGAACCUGAAACCCUGCACUUACAAGCUGUGGAAGCACAUUUCUUGUGUGACCGCGUACUUUUUGUAGAACGGGCCAACGAGUUACGUUAAGUAGCAAGGUUAAGCACUUAAGGUGCGGAGCCGUAGCGAAAGCGAGUUUUAACUGAGCGUUCAGUUACUUGACGUAGACCCGAAACCGGGCGACCUACCCAUGAGCAGGAUGAAGCGAAAGUAAAAUUUCGUGGAGGUCCGAACCCACGAGCGUUGAAAAGCUCGGGGAUGACUUGUGGGUAGCGGUGAAAUUCCAAUCGAGCCCGGAGAUAGCUGGUUCUCCCCGAAAUAGCUUUAGGGCUAGCCUCAAGGUGAGAGAUACGGAGGUAGAGCACUGAAUGUCCUAGGGGGUAUUGCACCUACCGAAGACUAUCAAACUCCGAAUGCCGUCAUCUUAUACUUGGGAGUCAGACUGUGGGUGAUAAGAUUCAUAGUCGAAAGGGCAACAGCCCAGAUCGUCAGCUAAGGUCCCUAAAUGUAAGUUAAGUGGUAAAGGAUGUGGGAUUGCACAGACAACCAGGAUGUUGGCUUAGAAGCAGCCACUCAUUCAAAGAGUGCGUAAUAGCUCACUGGUCGAGUGAUCCUGCGCCGAAGAUUUCCGGGGCUAAAACUUACUACCGAAGCUACGGCAUCAGUAAUGAUGGGUAGGGGAGCUUCCCAUACGGGUUGAAGCAUGACCGUAAGGACAUGUGGACAGUAUGGGAGUGAGAAUGUUGGCAUGAGUAGCGAGAUGUGGGUGAGAAUCCCACAGGCCGUAAACCCAAGGUUUCCAGGGGAAGGUUCGUCCGCCCUGGGUUAGUCGGGACCUAAGCUGAGGCCGAAAGGCGUAGGUGAUGGACAACAGGUUGAUAUUCCUGUACUACCGAUAACCAUUUGAGAGAAGGGAUGACACAGUAGGAUAAGCUAAGCACACUGUUGGUUAUGUGUGCCCAAGCAUUGAGGCAGUCAAAGUAGGCAAAUCCGCUUUGAUAAUGCUGGGAUGUGAUGGGGAGCGAAAUUUAGUAGCGAAGUAGCUGAUUUCACACUGUCAAGAAAAGUCUCUAUCGAGGUUAAAGGUACCCGUACCGCAAACCGACACAGGUGGGUGAGGAGAGUAUCCUAAGGCCAGCGAGAGAACUGUUGUUAAGGAACUCGGCAAAAUGACCCCGUAACUUAGGGAUAAGGGGUGCCACCAUCAGGUGGCCGCAGAGAAUAGGCCCAAGCGACUGUUUACCAAAAACAUAGGUUUCUGCUAAGUCGCAAGACGAUGUAUAGGAGCUGACGCCUGCCCGGUGCUGGAAGGUUAAGGGGAUCUGUUAGAGCAAUUGAAGCAGUGAACUUAAGCCCCAGUAAACGGCGGCCGUAACUAUAACGGUCCUAAGGUAGCGAAAUUCCUUGUCGGGUAAGUUCCGACCCGCACGAAAGGCGUAACGAUUUGGGCACUGUCUCAACAACAGACUCGGUGAAAUUGUAAUUCCGGUGAAGAUGCCGGAUACCUGCGACAGGACGGAAAGACCCCAUGGAGCUUUACUGUAGCUUGACAUUGGGUCUUGGUACUACAUGUACAGGAUAGGUGGGAGGCUUUGAAACCAGGACGCCAGUUUUGGCGGAGCCAUCCUUGGGAUACCACCCUUGUAGUACUGGGACUCUAACCAUAGGCCAUGAAUCUGGUCUUGGGACACUGUCAGGUGGGCAGUUUGACUGGGGCGGUCGCCUCCCAAAAGGUAACGGAGGCGCUCAAAGGUUCUCUCAGUACGGUCGGAAAUCGUACGUAGAGUGUAAAGGCAAAAGAGAGCUUGAUUGCAAGACAUACAGGUCGAGCAAGGAUGAAAAUCGGACUUAGUGAUCCGGUGGUUCUGCGUGGAAGGGCCAUCGCUCAACGGAUAAAAGCUACCCUGGGGAUAACAGGCUUAUCUCCCCCAAGAGUCCACAUCGACGGGGAGGUUUGGCACCUCGAUGUCGGCUCAUCACAUCCUGGGGCUGUAGUAGGUCCCAAGGGUUGGGCUGUUCGCCCAUUAAAGUGGUACGCGAGCUGGGUUCAGAACGUCGUGAGACAGUUCGGUCCCUAUCCGUCGCAGGCGUAGGAAAUUUGAGAAGACCUGUCCUUAGUACGAGAGGACCGGGAUGGACGUACCUCUGGUGUACCAGUUGUCCUGCCAAGGGCAUGGCUGGGUAGCUAUGUACGGAAUGGAUAAGCGCUGAAAGCAUCUAAGCGCGAAGCCAACUUCAAGAUAAGAUUUCCCACCGCAAGGGUAAGACCCCAGAAAGACUAUCUGGUUGAUAGGUCGAAGGUGUAAGUGCAGCAAUGUAUUUAGCUUAUCGAUACUAAUAGGUCGAGGACUUGACCAA